CGUCUACGCAGCACACGCCACAGCGAGCGGGAGCGCAACAGCGGGCGCUGCCCGUUUGGAUACAACCCCUUCGCAGGAGCCCAGAAACAUGUGCGGCCUGUGACUGCUGGGAUUCUUGCCUGUGGGGAUGCCGGACAGGUGCGGAUCAGAGCCGGGCUGAGGUCCUGGGACCCCAGCCCCAUGAUCCUGCACCCCCAUCUCCCAGGACCCGGCGCCCCUACGCCCCAUCCCUGGGUACCCAAGCGCCUAUUUUCAGGGACCCGCACCCCGACUCGGGACCCGCAGACUUCUCUGUGUGGCCCGCCCACUGGUGGGCAGCCGCUCUGUGCAGAAUAGGGCCUGUGUUUCCGUUGGAGACGCUCACCCUCGAAGUGGAUGAUCUCUCCGUGGCCGCAAUACACGCCCACGUGGGCCCCCACCAGCGUCCGUUGGGGGACAUCAGCCUGAACGGGAAGAGGUCUCCGGACUCAGGCUCGCUGCCCUGCAACUCCACGGCCUCGAAGUGCUGACCCAGGAAAGCCUCAGAGAGGAAGAACUUAACGGUGCUGACGGCCCCAGUCAGGGCCUGGGAGGAGAAAGGGAUCAGACCGCUGGGCCUUUGCACAGGCCAGGGUGAAGGAGGAGCCGGUUCCUUCCACUGAGCAUCGGGUCAGAUGGUCGGCCCAGGGCUCAGGGAGACGGGACUUCAGGCUAGGCCCAAAGUGAAUGUCAUCACUACCGCACCCCGCCUCCCUGUGCUGAGGAACUCCAGAGGCCUGGACAGCACGGAUAAAUCCUGCUCUGAGCCACCCCUGGGGACCUUCAGUUUCCAGCAAUUGGGACCUCCUCCUCAUCCAGUGUUUUCUUCUCAUCUCAAAUUACAGCCUCUCCAUUCUCUUCCCCUCCCCCUGCUCUAGGAUCCCCUUCCCCAGACUUCUCCUCUCUUGCCAUUUCCUGGCGGCAAUAGCCAGGACUGUGUGUACCUGAGUGGGGCAGCAGUCCUGAAGAAACUGAGAAACCGGGGUGAAAUCUGGACCCCAGACAGGCACCCCCUCCCAAGGCUGAGUGGAGAAGGACGCCUCCAACAACCACAGCAGCAAACACCUAUGGAGCAGCUGCUCGUUUUAGGGCUUAAUACAAUCCUCCAGGAUGGGGACUGUGUCCCCAUUUUCAGGAUAAGGAAACAGCUUCGCAGAGGUUAUACGUUGCUGGAAGGCACGCAGCUUAGUGUACCCCACCUGGGGAGAAGAAAAGACACGCUGAGGACUUCUGCUCCAUUUACCUGGGAUGUGAAGCUCAUCUAGGGAGGAAAAAAAACCUGCUGUCACCACCUGGCUGAUGAGGACUGAGGAUCCAAGCCGCUGCCCUUUCCACCUCCCCCAGCUCAGGUUGUGCGCUCUGCAUGUGGGGCUGGGCUGUCCGUGUGUCGGUGCAGGGCUGCGCAUUUGCUGUGUCCAUGAGUCUGUGCUGCGACACUGGAUGCAGGACAGGGAGGUCAAGUCCUGGCUGUGCCAC
RNAcentral lists this long non-coding RNA (1494 nucleotides) under Equus asinus (donkey). RNAcentral's name for it is "lncRNA (ENSEASG00005031982.1)". The record is from RNAcentral. Lineage: Eukaryota; Metazoa; Chordata; Mammalia; Perissodactyla; Equidae.